ACAUUUGGUACAUGAGGUUUUCUAUGGAUUUCUGGCAAAAGGUAUCAACAUACUUUUACAUUUUGAAAUGAUCUGACUUAUGAAAGACCAUUGUAAUUCUAGCUUUUUCUGUUGUGUCCAUGUUCUUUUUCCUUUACAAAUCUACCCUGAUGUUUUGUAUUGAUUACUUUGCCCUUUGAUGUCAUUCAUCAAAUACUUUGGUGUUAUUCAUUCUACUUUUGUGGCUCUGCAUAUGAUCUGCAGUGCUUACUUUAAAUUAAGUUGGCAGUUAGGUAUCAAUGAUGGAAAUUAGGUGUUUAUGUUCCAUAACAUAAACAUUAUCAUAACAUUACUAAGACUUAAUGUUUUAGUAAUUAGAUUGUCAGUCUACCUAUGUAACUGUUUCCUAGAGAAAAAUCAGGAUAGAAGACAGAUAAAAUACUAGUUAACUAAAAAUUUAAAUAAAUCUAUUGUUAGGAUUUUCUGGUAACAAAUUACUUGGGUAUUUAUUUCUGUAAGAAAAGUUUGGAAGGCUUUCCACAGCAUCUGCUGUAUUUCUUGAAGGCAGAAGAAAAAGUAAGUACCAUGCUAACAAUGUAAAUUUGUAAGGCCCUUCAUAAAUUUGCACAAUGCCUUCUUACUUGCUCAAGACACUUGUGAUGUAUUAAUUGCUCUUAUUCAUAUUUACGAAUCAGGAGUAUAAGACCCAAAGAAAUAGCCAAGAGCACAGAGGCUGGAACUGAGCUUUUUCUGAAACAAGAAAGCUGUCUGAGGAUUCCUCCAAUGCUUUAGAACCUGGUAAUUUUAUUAAUUUGAUGUUUUUAAAAAUAUGUUUAUACAGAUGCUUGCAUUGGGCAAUCAAGUUGGCAAACUUUAUGUUUGGGAUUUAGAAGUAGAAGAUCCUCAUAAAGCCAAAUGUACAACACUGACUCAUCAUAAAUGUGGUGCUGCUAUUCGACAAACCAGUUUUAGCAGGGAUAGCAGCAUUCUUAUAGCUGUUUGUGAUGAUGCCAGUAUUUGGCGCUGGGAUCGACUUCGAUAAAAUACUUUUGCCUAAUCAAAAUUAGAGUGUGUUUGUUGUCUGUGUAAAAUAGAAUUAAUGUAUCUUGCUAGUAAGGGCACGUAGAGCAUUUAGAGUUGUCUUUCAGCAUUCAAUCAGGCUGAGCUGAAUGUAGUGAUGUUUACAUUGUUUACAUUCUUUGUACUGUCUUCCUGCUCAGACUCUACUGCUUUUAAUAAAAAUUUAUUUUUGUAAA
This 1235-nucleotide small RNA is filed under the name Pan troglodytes (chimpanzee). RNAcentral describes it as "retained intron". Lineage: Eukaryota; Metazoa; Chordata; Mammalia; Primates; Hominidae. The record is from RNAcentral.